AAGAUCUGGACGGAAGGCAGUCAGGCGGAAUUGGAUUUCAAACGAACACCAUAACAUGUCCUAGGAAGUUCAGUGGGAGGACGGACGAUAUGGGUCAGUGAGUGAACGCGCAUCGCACAAAUUUAAAAGAGGUAAA
Non-coding RNA from Caenorhabditis elegans, 136 nucleotides. Lineage: Eukaryota; Metazoa; Nematoda; Chromadorea; Rhabditida; Rhabditidae. The record is from Ensembl.